Molecule: unclassified non-coding RNA, 401 nt
Filed under: Lyngbya sp. CCAP 1446/5
Lineage: Bacteria; Bacillati; Cyanobacteriota; Cyanophyceae; Oscillatoriales; Microcoleaceae
Description: partial 16S-23S ribosomal RNA intergenic spacer
Rfam family: Bacterial large subunit ribosomal RNA (bases 171-401)
Source: RNAcentral
CUGGAAAGAAAACCUGUCGGUUAUUGGAAGAAGUACUGCUGUGCACAUUUCACGUGAUCCGCUGUCGGGGCUGAAGGCCCCGGGGAGAAGCGGAAGCAAGUUCAUUGACAUAUUGCGUAGAAACUGUAACAGAGUAGUCGCUGCGCGAGCAGCGGUUAAUAUGAUUAAAAGAGUAAGUGAAUAAGGGCGCACGGGGGAUGCCUAGGCUCUCAGAGGCGAAGAAGGACGUGCCAAGCUGCGAAAAGCCGCGGGGAUCGGCUGAGGCGAAAUGAUCCGCGGAUGUCCGAAUGGGGCAACCCAGUCCGAUAAGGACUAUGUCGUAAGACAGGCGAACGUGGGGAACUGAAACAUCUAAGUACCCACAGGAGGAGAAAACAACAGUGAUUCCGAUAGUAGCGGCG